UACGGAGGGUGCAAGCGUUAUCCGGAUUUACUGGGUUUAAAGGGUGCGUAGGCUGUUGUAUCAGUCAGCGGUGAAAUCAGUGGGCUCAACCUACUAAUUGCCGUUGAAACUUUAUGACUUGAAUUUGAUGGAGGUAGGCGGAAUGUUGCAUGUAGCGGUGAAAUGCUUAGAUAUGCUACGGAACACCGAUUGCGAAGGCAGCUUACUACAUCAAUAUUGACGCUGAUGCACGAAAGCGUGGGUAGCGAACAGGAUUAGAUACCCUGGUAGUCCACGCCCUAAACGAUGAUUACUCAACAUUGGCGAUAUUUACUGUUCAGUGUUUUAGCGAAAGCGUUAAGUAAUCCACCUGGGGAGUACGUCCGCAAGGAUGAA
Molecule: ribosomal RNA, 375 nt
Filed under: uncultured bacterium
Lineage: Bacteria
Description: bacterial SSU rRNA
Rfam family: Bacterial small subunit ribosomal RNA
Source: RNAcentral